ACUUGCACUGUGGGUAUUUGCUUAAUGUUUAAAUGUGAAAGCUAUUGAUUGAAAGUUGGGAAUUGAAACUUUAUUGCAAGUAUCAUGCUUAAUUUUUAGACAGAAUAUUUUAUUUAAAUUGUUUAGUGAUUAAGAAGUUCUAGUGACUCAAGCUAUUCUACAUUUCAUUUUAGCUGAAAACUUUAAAUAAUUCAUUUUACCCAUUUCAUAUUUGAAUAGUUGAUUGUAUUAGUUUGGAAAGAAAGUCCUGUUGCAUUUCAUGGUGGGAAAGGCGCAAAUGAUUCUUUGGUCUUAAUUGAUGUAUUUAAUCACAAUAAUAUUUCCACUCAUUAUUGAUAGCAUAAUUCUGUCUAUUUGACAAAUUGUUGAUUUCUCAUCAGUAAAAUUCUUCAGAUUUUGAAGCAAAGAAGCACACAAUAUCAUUUUUAGCUUCAUCACAACUAAUAAACUGUUCUCCCUCUAAAUAAUGUUGAAAUGACCUGAAAAGAUGAUAGUUGAAUAGAGCAAAGUCAGGAGAGUAAGGAAGAUGAGGCAAAACUAUCAUAUUUAGUACCAUAAUCUUUUCCAGUGUGACUUUAGCAAUAUGUGGUCUUACAUUAUCAUGAAAAAAUAACAUCCCUUUACAGUUGACCAGUGAUGGGCACUUCUGCAUAUUUUUCUGAAAUGUUUCCACCUGAUAACAAUAAUUCUUUGCAUCAACUAUUCUGUUUUGGUUUAUAUUUCAUGAUAGAUGAAAUGCAUCUUAUCCCACCAAACACUGAGUAUAACUUUUCCCGAGUAUAGCCCUGGUUUUCCCAGGUGUGGUCCUUAUUUAUUGAUUGCUAACCAUUCUCAUUUUGAAAAGUUUGGUAACAAGUCUACUCUUCAAUGACAAGCAAAGGGCAACUUUCUGCUUAAGCUGAGAACCACUCAGAUGAUGGGGAAUGAAUUGAACUGUUUUGCAGUUUGCUUUGGAUUUUCUUCAAUUACAGUUUUCAAAAACUCAAUAUUGACAGAACUUUGUCAUGGGAAAUCUAUAAAAUAAAAUUUCCCAAGUGAAACUGACCAAACAGUUGUUGGCAUAUCCAAAUACUUAAACUUUCAUUUCCAAAGACAGAGCAAGUACUUUUUGCUGCUUCCAUUGCUCAAGAACUCCCUUUGAAUUCCUACUGUUUACAGUGUAUGGCAUCAUUCUGAUCUAAACUCAAUUUAAAAGAGUGAAAGCAAUAUAAAUUUAACCACUAUGUAUAAAGUAAUCUGCAAAAAAAAGUUAAUAAUAGAAUGUAAAAAAUAAUGCUUAUCUAACUGUAUUUAAAAAGUACCCUCACAGUAAUCAUGUCAAUGAUGUCAGGACUUUCUCUUGAACCUAAUAUGAAUGGCGUAGUACUGUUCUGUAGAAUCAAGUCCAAGAAUGAAUGGCUUCCAUUCAUCAAAUGUGGGCCAUGAUGUUUUAUUGUGUCUCCAGCACUCAAGAGUUUGUCUUACUGGAUACAGAGCCCCUAUCUAUCUUGUAUUGGUUUUCAAUUCAGAGUGACCAGGACUAUAAGAUAGAUUUUCUUCAUUGUAACUUUACAGGUCACAUUUCUUCUGGAGUGAUUCAGUUUGUUGAUUACAAGUUUUCAUAAUUACAAGUAGACAUUUAGAGAUUAGUGGAGGAGAGAGAGUUGGAAAGCUAAAUAGAUGUAUAUAGGUAGAGAAGAUGAGCAAUCAAAGCAGUGAAAGGGGAGAGAGAAAGGGCAGAGUCAUUUGAACAAAUUCAGUAAUAGAGUGACAUCAAAAAUAAACAAAUAGAAUAAACUGACUGAUAAGGAAGGGGUUAUGGUGGGUGGACCCUCACUAAAUGUUUCAUUUUUUGUGUUGAAUAUAAAAUGUUUUUACUUACUAGCUAAUCAGCAGAUUUCCUUAAUUAAAAGGGAUUUAAAUGAAACCAAAACAGAAUUGAGAAUUUUAGAUUGGAAUAAGAUAGUGGUACAAGUAUAAAAAAAAAUACAAAAUAAAUUUAACCCUUUAGCAUUUAAUCUGGCCAUAUCCAACCAAAAUAUUCUUCCUGUAUUAUGUUCAAACUGGCCAGAUCCAGUUUUGCUCACCAAACCUACAAGAUAAUGCAUGAUUAAUUCAAAACAAUUUCAAUAAAUAAGCAUUACUUUUGACGGAAUAAUCUGAAUGCUAAAGGUAGGUUGAAAUAGGAAUAUAUUAAAACAGAUGAGCUGUAAUUAAAAAUAAAAACAAAUUUAACGACAGUAGGAAAAUUAAAAGAAUUAUUGAAGAAAGUUGAUGUGAGGUCAGCUCUUAUCCAGCAAUUUGAUUGCAUACAGAUUGUCAACUGAAUGAUUAUGUACCACAUACUAAUUUGUUUUUCUAGUUAUGAUGUUUUCACCUAGCUGAGGAAUGUACUAAACUCAAUUGAUGAAUCUGGGAACAGUGUGAUAAUGUAAACAGGUGACACACAUCACUCUCCAGUUUGUUUCUGUAAACUCAGAUUCUGGUAGUCUCCAUUGUGUGGGUGGGUAAGACAGUCCCUAUCAAAGAAUGACAUCUGGUGUUUCUUUGCACUUUUGGUAGGUAGAGUGCAUCCCAGUACAAUGUUGAACUAGUGAAACUGUUACAGUAAUUUCUGUAUGUAUUAUUUUGUAUUAUUUUCCUGUUUUGUGGGGCUGAUAGGGUGAGGAGUUUUUUUUUUUUUUUUUUUUUUUUGAGACAGUUGUAAUGUUCUGAGGUUUUGUACAUGUAUUUGAAGAUAAUGGUAUAGGAUGGAUGACAGUUGAAUUUUACUGUGGUAACUAAUCUUGCCUAUUUAUAGGCUGUCUUUCAUUUUUAGUAUUUUUGCUUUGUUGUGUAGGUGGUUUUUGUUGUGGACUCUAGUGUAUAACCUAUUAUGAUGUAUUCUGAUACGUAUGGAAGGGUCAGGUUCAGCUGGUCAGAAAAUCUAUCUACUGUCAACAUCCACUCUGAGCACUGAGGCUGAGAGAGCUACAGAAAAUAUCUAGAUUGCUGCAAUGGUGUCAACAAUGAUGAUGAAAAUGAAGGUUAACUGGUGUGGGUGCCUUCUGUCUAACACAUCUUUCUGCAACUCAUUACCUUGACUGAACUGCAAUCAUGGGUCAAGCAUAGGCCAUAAUUGGAUGUUUGACAUCUACAAUGUUACCAGGCACUCAUAGUAUUGUAUAAGCUGGACAAAGCUAAUUACAGGCAAACAACUCAAUAUUUCUAUAGAAGUAGUUGAAGGUGACUUUGGGCAUUAAUGAGAACAGUUUGAGUGCUCUUUUCUGGAGUAUAUUCAGGCUGGAGACUAUAGAUAACUUCCAAAAGUCCUUGACAUGGUAGUGCUACAGGGGAUUUUAUCUGUUUGAGAAAAGCUCUUCAGGCAUGAAAAUGUCAACAACCAAAUCUCUCUAUGCAUACAGGGGAUGAAACCAUCAUUCAAGCAAUUAUUCUGUGUCUGUGCAUUAGUAAGCUGUGGACUUGUGUUGGUCAGAUACUGUUUCAUAUAAGACAAAUCUGGCUAUUAGCUGAGUGUAUAGUGAUAAUCAAUGCACCCACUUCUUUGGCAAACAAAGGAGGUAGUUCUUUCUCUGCUUAGUAGCUCUGGUGAAAGAGGCUGUGUGGUGGACCAGGAACGUUCCUCUUUGGCCAAGCCCACAACAAUUUCUUCAAGUAUCAUUUGAAGAGGAAGGUUAGAGUAGAGAGGGUGGUGUUGCUUUCUAGUUUGCUUAUCAAAAGGUAUAUGUGAGUGACAAGAUUGGUGAGGUUGAAUGAACCUACUUUAAGUAUGUUUUUCUAAGUAAGAGGAAAGAAACUGGAAGGGAGUACUUCUGAUUCUUGGAGACAGCCCGGUAAUCCAGGACUUUUUACAUAGGCUUUUCCCCAAAAUUACCCAAGGUAGACAGCUCUACUAUUAGGGAUUUUAUAUAUUUAUUGAACAAAGUUCCAUGCAGUUUUUCUUCUGGCCUUUUGCAUCCUGAAUUCAACUUCCACCAAGGUGAAUUUUCUCAUCCUCAAUCAAAUACUGAGGCUGAUAGUAUUGACUACCCACAACCAAAAAAAAAUUGCAGGCCAUGUGUCUAAAUCAGAAACCAUUAUUACAGCAGUAAGAUGGCAGAAUUUUUGGGUAUCAGGAAAAAAUACUUUGCAGCAUAAAGAACUAGAAUAACUCCAGUUCUUUAUGUUUUAUGUUCAAAACCCACUCAGAUCAACUUUACCAUUCUUCCCUGGGUUCUAUAAAACAAAGUACCAGCCAAGUACUGGGGUUCAUAUACUACACCCUUUCCCUCAAAAUUGCCAUCUUUUUGCUUAAAUCAGAAAUAAAUUAUUAUUUCAUUACACAGUAUGGAUGUAAAAUGCUAGUUUUUGUUGGGUUUUUUUCUUCUUUAUUUCUGGAGCACUUACAUAUCUGUCUUGUUGUCCAACAAUUCCAGGUGGAAUGAUAGUUUUUAAGGGUUGACCCUAAUGUUCAAAAUGAUAACUGGUACAACACCCACUUUAGCUGCUGGGCUUCCCCACAUUCUUGAUUUUUUUAAUUUUAAGUUAUAUUUUGAGAUCUUUUCUACUUCCUUGUUUGCACUGUUUUUGUUUGAAAGUAUUGCAACAUCUUUUAUGACUGUUAUGAAUUAUAAUAUCCUAUGAUUAGUUCCUUUCUACAAUAGUAAAUAAUAGAUAAAAAUAUAGAUAUCUUAUUUUGUACUGAGUGCGAAAAUGCAGCAUAGUGUCAAAUGACAUUGAUAGAUGGAUACUGUCUUUAUUUAAUAUAAAACAGUACAUCUUAAUUGUUGGACAACCUUGAUUAACAGAUUAGACGGCAAGCAGAAAUAAAGUUUGAAUAAAAGCCUUCUGUGAACUGGUUUAUGACAAUGACCUAUUCCCUUUCUUCUAUGUCAUCUAUGGUAUCUGCUCUAUAGUGUCCAGUUGUUCUGUAAAUCUGGAUGUCAAAAUCCCAUUGAAUUUUUGAUUUACCAUAUUCUUUUGGAACAUUGGUCUAUGAUUUUACCUCUCAUCUGAAGUGUUGUAUCCAUAUUUUUUACACAGUGGGCAGUGUAAAUUGAGGCAAAACUUCCAACAUCACUUAUAUCCUUUCUGAGCUGACAUCAAUGGUAUCAAUAAUUCCCCUUCUCUCAAAAUGUCUGGUCUAGUGUUUAAAUUAGAAAUCAUUAUUUAACAGGGAGGUGGAUUGGCAGCAUCAUUAAAACAUCAAAUACCUUACAGUAUGUCUUCUAGCUCUUUACAUUCUGAGUUCAAAUCCUAACAAGCACCACUUUCCCAUUCAUCUCACCAGGUCAAUGAAACAAUGUUUCAGUCCAGUCAUCAUCAUCAUCAUCAAGAUCCCUUAACUGAUGCAACCAAUCGUUGGGAGGGUGACUUGAAAAUUGAAGACUGAUGAUGUCAUUCCAUCAGCAUGGGAACACUGGUUGCCUCAUUCAAAUUUUGGAUUUGAAUUUCUAUGUAUCAUGUUUCAUUUUGAACUUGACAAAGAUAGACUAGCUGUCAAAAUAUCGUUCAACCAAUAAAACAUUUAUUGCAAUCACA
This is a long non-coding RNA of Octopus bimaculoides (California two-spot octopus), 5499 nucleotides long. NCBI's taxonomy places the organism in Eukaryota, Metazoa, Mollusca, Cephalopoda, Octopoda, Octopodidae. The record is from RefSeq and is a predicted model, not a curated record.